RNAcentral lists this ribosomal RNA (253 nucleotides) under uncultured bacterium. RNAcentral's name for it is "partial 16S ribosomal RNA". It matches the Rfam family "Bacterial small subunit ribosomal RNA", at positions 524 to 776 of the family's 1533-position model. The record is from RNAcentral.
UACGUAGGGUGCAAGCGUUAUCCGGAAUUAUUGGGCGUAAAGAGCUCGUAGGCGGUUCGUCGCGUCGGCUGUGAAAACCCGAGGCUCAACCUCGGGCCUGCAGUCGAUACGGGCGGACUGGAGUUCGGCAGGGGAGACUGGAAUUCCUGGUGUAGCGGUGAAAUGCGCAGAUAUCAGGAGGAACACCGGUGGCGAAGGCGGGUCUCUGGGCCGAUACUGACGCUGAGGAGCGAAAGCGAGGGGAGCAAACAGG